CUCCAUUUCAAAAACGAAACAAAACAGAACAACAACAACAACAACAACAAAAAACCCAAAAAGAACCCAGUCAUCACAGAAUCUGUACAUGGCCUGUGGGUGGUAGAUGCUGGCCCUACACAUGAACGGUUCCAUGGUCCUCAUCCAUGACAGAGUAGGACCUAUGACCCAGAUCCUUUGGCAGUGAGUUCAGUGCUCUUUCUUCUUAUGCCAUGCUCGGCCAUGAGGAGAAAUCCUGAAGUUCUGCACAUUCUUUGAAAAAACACAGUGAUGGAAGUGAGACAGAUUGUGGGCACAGGGCCAUAGCCCUGUUGAAUCUGCACUUGUUCCACAAGGUUUGAGUUGUUCCCUCAGACUUUCAGAAAAUCAUUGUUGUGCUAAUGUUUCUUCUUGCUUUCUUUUAAGGAAAAGUGUUUGAGAAGAGUACAACACAGCCACCACCAUUUUUUCCUAGGUCAACAAGCACGCCUGUGUUCUGAUAAUUAAGAGUCCUAAUGAUACACAUCUAAUGGUAAAAAGUUCAGGGUUACUGACUUUAGUCAUGGCUGGAUCCAGGUGUUUAACAUGAUUUUAUCAGGAAGUUGCUUCUCUCUCUGCCUCUGCCUUCCUUGGCAUUGAAUUCAUUUUUAGGAUGUGUGGGGGUUUACUGUUGAGGUGGUCACUGGCAGCUCUAGGUUUAUGUUCUCACAAAUGAAUGACUCUUUCUUGAUCACACCAGCAGUACUUCUAGGAUUAUCUCUUAUUGGACCAAUUUAUGUCCCAUUUCUACUGCUGAGCCAUUUCAUCAGUUCAUUGUUAAACCAUUCAGACAAAAUACAUUGACUGCUUUCCAUGUUCCAGCAGCCACACACUUUUUAUGAGGAGCCUUCAAAUAUUAAAAUAAAGGAAUACUAGCAGUAUUUUUUAGGAAUAAUGUGUUUUUCAAGUUCAAUGCUAUAUUACAUUAAGCACUGUGAAGCCAGGCUGUGGGAACAAUAAAGCUUUUUUUGAUGAACCUCAAAAUUGCAAAUUGAGGUGGUGAAUGACAGUCAUCUCCUUUUCUCUGAGGAGCCCAAAUGUCAGAAUGCACCCAUGUCUGAGGUCAUCCUUCCUUUGAAAUACCUGCCACGAUGACUGCAGCUCCUGCAGGUUUCCCUCCCCAGGUCCCGUGGGAAGAUGUCCGUUAUCUCUUUGAUGAGAUCAUGUAUGGAGGCCACAUCACAGAUGACGGGGAUUGCAAACUGUGUCGGGUGUAUUUAGAAGAAUUCAUGAAUCCAUCUCUGAAGCUAGCUGCCCUGUCAGGAACACAUGCAUGUGGUGAAAAACCGAGACUUCCAGCCAACAGCCAUGUGAGCGAGCCAUCUUGGAAGUGGAUCCUCCAGCCCCAGUCAAGCCUUCAGAUGACUGCAGCUUUGGCCAACAUCUUGACUGCAACUUCCUGAGAGACCCUGAGCAAGAAUCACACCAUGAAGAUGUUCCUAGUUUUCUGAUUCUCAGAAACUGGCUGCCAUGUGAAGAAGGACAUGUUUGCUUCCACUUCUGCCACGAUUCAGUGUGAGAAUGGACUAAUACAGGGUCUGUGUUGGACAGGAAGGACAUGAAGAGAGGAAGGGCUGGUGGAGAGAAUGCAGAGUAGUCAUAAGACACGAGCCUCCUCUGAUGGUCGACUUUGCCUUGAGAACUCAGAUGACCUUGCCAGAAUCUUCUUAGAUAGCUUGGAACUCUAGAACAUUUCUACUCACCCUUCUUCCUUCUCCCAUUCACUCAAGGCCAGACCUGCAAUGUGAUCUGACAACUCCCAGCCUUACAAGGUUCUCUUCCAAUUUUCUCUCACAGGGAUUUUCCCUAAUAAAAUCAUCACACAUUUAA
Molecule: long non-coding RNA, 1848 nt
Filed under: Homo sapiens (human)
Lineage: Eukaryota; Metazoa; Chordata; Mammalia; Primates; Hominidae
Description: HSALNT0370268
Source: RNAcentral